CCUACGGGAGGCAGCAGUGGGGAAUAUUGGACAAUGGGGGGAACCCUGAUCCAGCGACGCCGCGUGAGUGAAGAAGUAUUUCGGUAUGUAAAGCUCUAUCAGCAGGGAAGAAAGAAAUGACGGUACCUGACUAAGAAGCCCCGGCUAACUACGUGCCAGCAGCCGCGGUAAUACGUAGGGGGCAAGCGUUAUCCGGAUUUACUGGGUGUAAAGGGAGCGUAGACGGCGAUGCAAGUCUGAAGUGAAAGGCGGGGGCCCAACCCCCGGACUGCUUUGGAAACUGGAUGGCUGGAGUGCGGGAGAGGUAAGUGGAAUUCCUGGUGUAGGGGUGAAAUGCGUAGAUAUUAGGAGGAACACCAGUGGCGAAGGCGGCUUACUGGACUGUAACUGACGUGGAGGCUCGAAAGCGUGGGGAGCAAACAGGAUUAGAUACCCGGGUAGUC
RNAcentral lists this ribosomal RNA (443 nucleotides) under uncultured bacterium. RNAcentral's name for it is "partial 16S ribosomal RNA". It matches the Rfam family "Bacterial small subunit ribosomal RNA", at positions 338 to 795 of the family's 1533-position model. The record is from RNAcentral.